AUGGAGGGGAGGAAGAAUGAGAGAGUGAAGGCCGCCGCCCUCUGCGUGCUCGUCAUCCUGCUGUCGGCCCAGCGGGUGCCGAUCGGGGUUGCCGACCCCACGUCGGCGUUCUGCCAGUGCUACCUGGGCUGCUUUGACCUAGACUGCAGCCGCAAAGGCUGGCAGAGGUGCCAUGAUUACUGCUGCGCCCAAGUGUGCCACUUACCUGGGGACGCCGACUUCGACUUGGAGUGCAGGGGCGGAUAUCACGCCUGCACGGAGUCCACCGGCGACGAUACCACUUCUACUACUACUGGUGAUGCUGCGGCCAGUUACUGGUGCGGCCGCCAUGGCAAGGUCAAGGCCAAGCACGGCUAG
Molecule: ribosomal RNA, 357 nt
Filed under: Triticum aestivum (bread wheat)
Lineage: Eukaryota; Viridiplantae; Streptophyta; Magnoliopsida; Poales; Poaceae
Description: partial small subunit ribosomal RNA
Source: RNAcentral